GUUACACAUAAAAUACGGAUUCUCUACUUUUUGGGUGAAGAAAUUUCUUCUCAUUCAAGCAGAAAUCUUCUGGAUGGUUUUCUUGCCUCCAAUGUUUGAUGAUGCAGAUCUUCAAGAUUUUAAUAGAUUGCAAUUGAGUCAACACUGGUUCAAAGGCAUGGAAUUUUCAAUAAAGCAGCAUGGAUGUCUUCAAUAAAGUAUAGUAACAUUUACGUCCUCUGCAAGAGAGAGUCCCGAGUCCCAAGUGGGUAUAUUGGCAACAGGGUGAACACGUGGGUCCUGUUGGGCAGGUAGGUGGAAAUCCCAGACUUGGCAGAGGAGCACUGAUACUGAUACUCAUGGGGAAGAACCACCUCCAAAGAAGGAAUUAAUUUCAAAGACAUGAUCGUUUGUAAAUCAUCAGCUGACAAUCUGCUGCCAACCAGUUAUCUUGCCAAUCACCACAGUUUUCACUUUAUUGAAUAUCAAUGUAUCUUGAAGUCCUUGAAAUCUUGCUAUUUCACUUUUAAAUAUCUCCCACUUGCUAAAGGUUUCUUUGCCCCCAACAGCCUUGCCCCAAUUCAAACUAAUGGUAACUGUUCCCAAACUGCUCCCCUAACAUGUUCAGCAUAACUUUUAACCAAGCCUUUGCUUCUGAAUCCCAGGAUUCUGCUUGCAUUACAAACCACAUUUUGGAAAUCAAAUCAAAAGUUCAAAGACUUAGCUACUUUUAUCCGAUUUAGAACUAUGCCAUUGAAUCUAUAUUGUCUCUAUUAAUUCCUUCAGUUGAUGUGCAUCACCUUUGCA
Molecule: long non-coding RNA, 786 nt
Organism: Hypanus sabinus (Atlantic stingray)
Lineage: Eukaryota; Metazoa; Chordata; Chondrichthyes; Myliobatiformes; Dasyatidae
Exons: 4
Source: RefSeq, a predicted model, not a curated record